This is a long non-coding RNA of Poecilia latipinna (sailfin molly), 743 nucleotides long. RefSeq lists it as uncharacterized. The transcript has 2 exons. Lineage: Eukaryota; Metazoa; Chordata; Actinopteri; Cyprinodontiformes; Poeciliidae. The record is from RefSeq and is a predicted model, not a curated record.
GUUCUGGGAGGAGCUCCCUCUCUUUUACAGCUCAGGUUUUAUGUUUGUCGAUUUAAAUUGUGGACAAAAUGACACACUGAUUCAAAGAUAUAGAAUUAUCCCGGUUUUUCUGGUUUUCAUCUUUGUUCUGCUGAACACAAAAGGUUGAAUUUGGAGUUUUUCCUCUGGCCUCCUCCCCGUGAGAGCCGCAGACUGUGGAGCCUCUGCUGCAAAUGGGAUAUUGUUCUGGGCUCCAACAAAGCUGUUUUCACCCUCUUCAAUAUUACAGGAGGAGUCACCCGAUACCCAACAAUCAGCUAAUCCACUGCCCAUGGCGACGAGGUCACCUGUGCACAGAGGCUGAGAUGAGAAAAGGAGGCCUAAUGAAGUCCAGGUUGUGGAGCAUGUGCAAACUAUCACCACAGGUCUGCAGAAAGCUGCAGAAGGCUUGCUGGAUUACUGCACGCUUCCCCCCUCGCCGUCCUUUCAAUCUGGCAACGCUGGACUUUUAAAUAUCGGGAGGACAUGUGCUUUCUGUUGUAAACUCACAUUCUUUACUGUGUCGCUAAAAUCUCCAUGAUCCCAUAUUGCUAUUAGUCAUCAUAAAAUCACAUCAGGAAUAAAACUUCCUUCUUCGUUGUCUUUUUUUUUUUACGUUUUUAUAAAUAUAAACUUUUAUUGCAGUACGUAGAUUUAGAAAAAUACAUUCACAUAAUUUCAGAUAACAAACAUAUAAUUCAAGCUAAGAUAAAAAAACAAACAAA